UACGUAGGGGGCAAGCGUUGUCCGGAUUUAUUGGGCGUAAAGAGCGUGUAGGCGGCCAUACAGGUCAGCUGUGAAACUCGAGGCUCAACCUCGAGACGUCGGUUGAAACCGUAUGGCUAGAGUCCGGAAGAGGAGAGUGGAAUUCCCGGUGUAGCGGUGAAAUGCGCAGAUAUCAGGAGGAACACCGAUGGCGAAGGCAGGUCACUGGGCCGCAACUGACGCUGAGGAGCGAAAGCAUGGGGAGCGAACAGG
This 252-nucleotide ribosomal RNA is filed under the name uncultured bacterium. Its description in RNAcentral is "partial 16S ribosomal RNA". It matches the Rfam family "Bacterial small subunit ribosomal RNA", at positions 524 to 776 of the family's 1533-position model. The record is from RNAcentral.